GACGUAGGUGGCGAACGUUAUCCGGAAUCAUUGGGCGUAAAGGGUGCGUAGAUGGCAUGAUAAGUUAUUAGUGGGAAACCGAGGCUCAACCUCGUGGAAGCUAGUAAUACUGUUUUGCUUGAGUGCAGAAGAGGUUAACGGAACUCCAUGUGGAGCGGUAAAAUGCGUAGAUAUAUGGAAGAACAUCAAUAACGGCGAAGGCAGUUAACUAUUCUGUUACUGACAUUGAGGCACGAAAGCGUGGGGAGCGAACAGG
Molecule: ribosomal RNA, 256 nt
Filed under: uncultured bacterium
Lineage: Bacteria
Description: partial 16S ribosomal RNA
Rfam family: Bacterial small subunit ribosomal RNA
Source: RNAcentral